CAUGUAGGCGGCUUUUAAGUCGGUCGUGAAAUGCGGGGCUUAACCCCGUAUUGCGGUCGAAACUGGAGGGCUUGAGUGCAGGAGAGGAAAGGGGAAUUCCCAGUGUAGCGGUGAAAUGCGUAGAUAUUGGGAGGAACACCAGUGGCGAAGGCGCCUUUCUGGACUGUGUCUGACGCUGAGAUGCGAAAGCCAGGGUAGCAAACG
RNAcentral lists this ribosomal RNA (204 nucleotides) under uncultured Veillonellaceae bacterium. RNAcentral's name for it is "partial 16S ribosomal RNA". It matches the Rfam family "Bacterial small subunit ribosomal RNA", at positions 568 to 774 of the family's 1533-position model. The record is from RNAcentral. Lineage: Bacteria; Bacillati; Bacillota; Negativicutes; Veillonellales; Veillonellaceae.